Long non-coding RNA from Cyprinus carpio (common carp), 1682 nucleotides. The record is from Ensembl. Lineage: Eukaryota; Metazoa; Chordata; Actinopteri; Cypriniformes; Cyprinidae.
UGGAUUUUCAUCCAAAUGAGAUGAGAAGGAGCAUCUCAAGGGGUUUUCCCUUUCAUAAAAUUCAUAUUCAAAUGCAAAAUUCCCCAGACGAAGUUCCCAUGGAAAGUUUCCAGGAAAUUUUCUGCUCGAUUGUAACCCUAGUAGAAGCUCAUGCAAAUGUAAAAACAGACAGGCUGCGUGACAUCCUUAUACUUAAAAACCAUAAACAAAAUUACAAAACCACUUCCCAUUAAAUUCCUGCAUCUAUACAUCUCCAUCAGAAGACAAAAUUCAUACAAGCACAAGACUCACUGCAGAGGAACCAGUGUCCAGCGAGGAGCAUCUCAGCUGAGCACGAAACGAAAAAGAAAACCAUCAAGAUCAUUUAGUACACUUACAGUAGAACAAGAAGAAAUGAACAUACAAAUACCAACACCAGCAGUAGCAGUGACUGGGGUCUCCGUUCAGCCUGCUGUAUCGGUGGUUCAGCCCGCUGUAACGUAUGUUCAGCCCGCAGUAUCGGUGGUUCAGCCUGCUGUGAUCAUGAGUCCAAUGCCAGUGGUUGCUGCAGUACCAGAUUACUUGGGCUACUCCAUCUUUACCAUGCUGUGCUGCUGUUUACCUCUGGGCAUCGUUGCUACCAUCUUCUCAUGCAACGUAAGUCUUCAUUCUGACUCGAGAUGCUAACUUGUCUGGACAGCGAGAGUUAGCGAUGAGCAGCUCCAGAGUGGCAUUUAUCCUGAACAAUUUGGCUCUCGGUAUCGGCCUCACAGUCAUAACAGUGGUCAUUAUCAUUAAAUUAGUUCCUUGAACAACAUCGUUGAACAGAUGUUUUAUUCUGCAAAUGCAUCUAUUCAUACUGUAAAUGAUACUGUCAACUCAAAUCAAUGAUUUUUUGGAAGAAAUUAAAAAUAUUUUCCAGACCCUCUGAAGGGAAUGAUCUAAUGUACGCUUAUGUUUUAUUUCUUUUUGUAUGUAAUGCUGGCAGACUGAUAUGUUUGAUUAGCAGAAAUUAAAUGCUUUACUGCUUUUCUUUACUGCUAACAUCUAAAGACUCAUCUUUUUCGCCAGCACCAACUAAUACUAGCACUUACCUUUUCUUUUCUUGUCUAUCCUAUUCUUGGAAAAAAAAAAAAAAAAAAACCUUGCUAUGAGUUCUGUGCUAGACUAACUGAGACUUGUCAUGGCACUUGUAUACUGUUGUUGUUCUCUCGUUGGUCUUAUUGGUUCUAUUGUUCUCAAUUAUAAGUCGCUUUGGAUAAAAGCAUCUGCUAAAUGAUUAAAUGUAUGUAAAUGUUUUCACUUAAAGCCGAUUUAAAAUGUUAUUUUUUUUUUUUUUUGGUAAAUUACACAUUAAAAUACAGCAUUGCACUAAAUACAUUAAUCGUUCUGGUCAUCUAUAGAGGAUUUCUCACUGGAGGAACAUUUUCAUAGUUCCUAGAACUAGAACUAUUGGCGGAAAAAUUCUCACUUUUUGGCGUGUUAGAACUGCAGGAACUAGGAACUUAUUGUUCUAGGAUCUCCGUUUGGGGGAAUUAAAUAGGGGUUAUGUGCAACGGACUUCUGCAUUCUGUUAAAUAGGUCUCACCACUUCUGGUUCAAGUAUUUUGCAUAUGCUUCAUUAAAUAUGAAGUUGUUUUACUCAAGAUUCCUUCAAAAGUAGAUACAAAUAAAAAAAAUUUUAUGCAGUUAUUUAAAGACCA